Molecule: ribosomal RNA, 1234 nt
Filed under: Escherichia coli
Lineage: Bacteria; Pseudomonadati; Pseudomonadota; Gammaproteobacteria; Enterobacterales; Enterobacteriaceae
Description: partial 23S ribosomal RNA
Rfam family: Bacterial large subunit ribosomal RNA
Source: RNAcentral
CCGAUAGUGAACCAGUACCGUGAGGGAAAGGCGAAAAGAACCCCGGCGAGGGGAGUGAAAAAGAACCUGAAACCGUGUACGUACAAGCAGUGGGAGCACGCUUAGGCGUGUGACUGCGUACCUUUUGUAUAAUGGGUCAGCGACUUAUAUUCUGUAGCAAGGUUAACCGAAUAGGGGAGCCGAAGGGAAACCGAGUCUUAACUGGGCGUUAAGUUGCAGGGUAUAGACCCGAAACCCGGUGAUCUAGCCAUGGGCAGGUUGAAGGUUGGGUAACACUAACUGGAGGACCGAACCGACUAAUGUUGAAAAAUUAGCGGAUGACUUGUGGCUGGGGGUGAAAGGCCAAUCAAACCGGGAGAUAGCUGGUUCUCCCCGAAAGCUAUUUAGGUAGCGCCUCGUGAAUUCAUCUCCGGGGGUAGAGCACUGUUUCGGCAAGGGGGUCAUCCCGACUUACCAACCCGAUGCAAACUGCGAAUACCGGAGAAUGUUAUCACGGGAGACACACGGCGGGUGCUAACGUCCGUCGUGAAGAGGGAAACAACCCAGACCGCCAGCUAAGGUCCCAAAGUCAUGGUUAAGUGGGAAACGAUGUGGGAAGGCCCAGACAGCCAGGAUGUUGGCUUAGAAGCAGCCAUCAUUUAAAGAAAGCGUAAUAGCUCACUGGUCGAGUCGGCCUGCGCGGAAGAUGUAACGGGGCUAAACCAUGCACCGAAGCUGCGGCAGCGACGCUGAUGCGUUGUUGGGUAGGGGAGCGUUCUGUAAGCCUGCGAAGGUGUGCUGUGAGGCAUGCUGGAGGUAUCAGAAGUGCGAAUGCUGACAUAAGUAACGAUAAAGCGGGUGAAAAGCCCGCUCGCCGGAAGACCAAGGGUUCCUGUCCAACGUUAAUCGGGGCAGGGUGAGUCGACCCCUAAGGCGAGGCCGAAAGGCGUAGUCGAUGGGAAACAGGUUAAUAUUCCUGUACUUGGUGUUACUGCGAAGGGGGGACGGAGAAGGCUAUGUUGGCCGGGCGACGGUUGUCCCGGUUUAAGCGUGUAGGCUGGUUUUCCAGGCAAAUCCGGAAAAUCAAGGCUGAGGCGUGAUGACGAGGCACUGCGGUGCUGAAGCAACAAAUGCCCUGCUUCCAGGAAAAGCCUCUAAGCAUCAGGUAACAUCAAAUCGUACCCCAAACCGACACAGGUGGUCAGGUAGAGAAUACCAAGGCGCUUGAGAGAACUCGGGUGAAGGAACUAGGCAA